AAAUGAAAGAUUUGGGGAAGGCUUCAAGAAUUCUGGGUAUGGAUAUCAUAAGAGAUAGAGAAAAGGGAGAAUUAAUUCUGUCUCAGGGAAACUACUUGGAGAAAGUGUUAAAAACAUUUGGAAUGUUUGAAGCAAGACCAGUGAUUACACCAACUGCUGCUCAUUUCAAACUCAGAAGUUUGUCAGAAGAGGAAAAGAAAACAGAAGUUGUACACAUGGAAAGAAUUCCAUAUGCAAGUGCUGUGGGGAGUUUAAUGUAUGCCAUGGUUGGUUCAAGGCCAGAUUUAGCAUUUGCAGUGGGUUUAAUCAGCAGGUUUAUGUCAAAUCCAGGAAGAGAUCAUUGGUCUGCAGUGAAAUGGGUGUUAAGGUACUUAAAAGGUGCAUACACUCAAAACUUGAUUUUUAAGAAGGAUUCUAAGUUCUGCAUUAAAGGAUUUUCAGAUUCAGAUUAUGCGACAGACUUAGAUCGGAGAAGAUCAGUGACGGGUUUUGUGUUUAAGGCUGGUGGAAACAUAAUUUCAUGGAAAUCAAGUUUACAAUCUGUUGUGGCUAUUUCAACCACAGAAGCAGAGUAUAUGGCUCUAACGGAAGCAGUGAAAGAAGCCAUUUGGUUGAAAGGUUUGUGUUCAGAAUUGGGUUUUAAGCAAGACAGUGUUAAGGUUCAUUGUGAUUCACAGAGUGCUCUAGCCCUAGCAAAGAAUUCAGUUCAUCACGAAAGAACCAAGCACAUAGACACUAAAUUUCAUUUCAUCAGAGAUAUAGUGUCUAAGGGUGAAGUUGUUCUACACAAAAUACACACAACAGUCAAUCCAGCAGAUUUCCUAACUAAGACGGUACCUGGCCAGAAGUUCCAGCUUUGCUGCGAGCUUCUCAACAUCCACUAAGGUGGAGCUGCGGCUACAGGUAACUCCAACAGUCUCGCAAAACAGGUUGAAACAAGAUGAUUCAGUUUUGUGAGAAGUACUCAAGUGUCAGAAUUGAGUAAAGCUUUAAAUUGGAGUUGGUGUUACGUGUUAAGUACUGGAACUGUGUAGGAGUUGCAAGUUCCAGGUGGAGUAU
RNAcentral lists this long non-coding RNA (1059 nucleotides) under Arabidopsis lyrata. RNAcentral's name for it is "long non-coding RNA (ALYR_LNC002597)". Lineage: Eukaryota; Viridiplantae; Streptophyta; Magnoliopsida; Brassicales; Brassicaceae. The record is from RNAcentral.